AGCAGCCGCGGUAAUUCCAGCUCCAAUAGCGUAUAUUAAAGUUGUUGCAGUUAAAAAGCUCGUAGUUGAAUUUCGGGAUUGGCACAUCGGUCGUGCCUCACGGGGUAUGAACUGGUGUAGUCAAUUUCUCACCUUCUGGAGAACCGUGAUGUCCUUAAUUGGGUGCCGCGGGGAACCAGGACCUUUACUUUGAAAAAAUUAGAGUGUUUAAAGCAGGCAUUUCUGCUUGAAUACAUUAGCAUGGAAUAAUAAAAUAGGACGGCAUGGUUCUAUUUUGUUGGUUUCUAGGACCACCGUAAUGAUUAAUAGGGAUAGUUGGGGGCAUUAGUAUUCAAUUGUCAGAGGUGAAAUUCUUGGAUUUAUUGAAGACUAACUACUGCGAAAGCAAUUUGCCAAGGAUGUUUUCAUUAAUCAAGAACGAAAGUUAGGGGAUCGAAGACGAUCAGAUACCGUCGUAGCCUUAACCAUAAACUAUGCCGACUAGGGAUCGGAUGAUGUUAAUUUUAAUGUACUCAUUCGG
Molecule: ribosomal RNA, 520 nt
Filed under: uncultured Glomeromycotina
Lineage: Eukaryota; Fungi; Glomeromycota
Description: SSU rRNA
Rfam family: Eukaryotic small subunit ribosomal RNA
Source: RNAcentral